AGCCUUUUGUAUCCGUGCUGAGAUUUUCGUCAGCGCCCAGCCCGCUGGGGCUGAUGCGACUUCUCAAAUAAGUGAAGUG
Molecule: microRNA precursor, 79 nt
Filed under: Trichobilharzia regenti
Lineage: Eukaryota; Metazoa; Platyhelminthes; Trematoda; Strigeidida; Schistosomatidae
Description: mir-3492 microRNA precursor family
Rfam family: mir-3492 microRNA precursor family
Source: Rfam by way of RNAcentral